This 468-nucleotide ribosomal RNA is filed under the name uncultured bacterium. RNAcentral describes it as "partial 16S ribosomal RNA". It matches the Rfam family "Bacterial small subunit ribosomal RNA", at positions 28 to 507 of the family's 1533-position model. The record is from RNAcentral.
GACGAACGCUGGCGGCGUGCUUAACACAUGCAAGUCGAACGGAAAGGCCCUGCUUUUGUGGGGUGCUCGAGUGGCGAACGGGUGAGUAACACGUGAGUAACCUGCCCUUGACUUUGGGAUAACUUCAGGAAACUGGGGCUAAUACCGGAUAGGAGCUCCUGCUGCAUGGUGGGGGUUGGAAAGUUUCGGCGGUUGGGGAUGGACUCGCGGCUUAUCAGCUUGUUGGUGGGGUAGUGGCUUACCAAGGCUUUGACGGGUAGCCGGCCUGAGAGGGUGAACGGCCACAUGGGGACUGAGAUACGGACCAGACUCCUACGGGAGGCAGCAGUGGGGAAUAUUGCACAAUGGGCGGAAGCCUGAUGCAGCAACGCCGCGUGCGGGAUGACGGCCUUCGGGUUGUAAACCGCUUUCGCCUGUGACGAAGCGUGAGUGACGGUAAUGGGUAAAGAAGCACCGGCUAACUACGUG